AUAGUAAUGCUUCCUGAGACCCACUUGACUUCGCAUUCCAGGAUGUCUGGCUCUAGGUGGAUCUUUACCACUGGACCACCCGGGAAGUCCAUUUCUACCUUUCUUGAGAGAAGAGUUUCAGAAAUUGAAGGAAGAGGGACUCCCAGUGGCUGCACCAUUCAACAUGUCCUCCAUUAUCUCAAACAAAUUAGCUGGCAAAAUCAACAAGAAAACAGGUUCUAGAUGAACUAACCAAGUAACAUCUGAGUCUACUGUCUCCUCACCCUGAGCACACUCAUGACACGUCACUUCUGUGAAUAUGAAAAAUGUACGCAGAACAAUUCAUAGAAAGAAAAUUCCGAAUGACUAACAAAUAGCUGAUAAAAACCAGUCAGUCCUAAAGGAGAUCAAUCCUGAAUAUUUAUUGGAAGGACUGAUACUGAAUCUGAAGCUCCAAUACUUUGGCCGCCUGAUGCGAAGAACUGACUCACUGGAAAAGACCCUGAUGCU
Bubalus bubalis (water buffalo) is the source of this 489-nucleotide long non-coding RNA. RefSeq lists it as uncharacterized. NCBI's taxonomy places the organism in Eukaryota, Metazoa, Chordata, Mammalia, Artiodactyla, Bovidae. The transcript has 3 exons. The record is from RefSeq and is a predicted model, not a curated record.